Molecule: ribosomal RNA, 463 nt
Filed under: uncultured bacterium
Lineage: Bacteria
Description: partial 16S ribosomal RNA
Rfam family: Bacterial small subunit ribosomal RNA
Source: RNAcentral
GAUGAACGCUGACAGAAUGCUUAACACAUGCAAGUCUUUGGCGAAGCUGUGCUUGCACAGCCUAGCCAAGGCGGACGGGUGAGUAACGCGUAAGGAACUUGCCCUGCAGUCAGGGAUAACAGACGGAAACGACUGAUAAGACCUGGUAAAGUCAGGCGGACUCAUGUCCAGCCUGAUGAAAAGAGAUGCUGCAGGAGAGCCUUGCGUCCUAUUAGCUUGUUGGUGGGGUAACGGCCCACCAAGGCUAUGAUAGGUAGCCGGCCUGAGAGGGUGGACGGCCACAAGGGGACUGAGAGACGGCCCUUACGACUACGGGAGGCAGCAGUGGGGAAUAUUGGACAAUGGGGGCAACCCUGAUCCAGCAAUUCUGUGUGCACGAUGAAGGUUUUCGGAUUGUAAAGUGCUUUCAGCAGGGAAGAAAAAAAUGACGGUACCUGCAGAAGAAGCGACGGCUAAAUACGUG